ACAAAUAGGUGUAUCUGACUACUUUGCAUUAUGUACCUAAAACUGUGUUUUCAUUUCAUUUUGCUUUAAUUUAAAUUUUAAUUGUUUUAUUAUUGUGAAAGGCUUAACAAUUUAGUUAUUCAUAACUUACUCUGUUUAAUGUGUAUCUCUUCUUAAAAUAAUUUGCAUAAUUGAAGAUCAUACAAUUGGUUUUAAGAAAUCAAUAGAUUACUAAGGGAAUAACAGUACUUAAUAAAUGAAUAAUUUCUUCCAAUGAGAAUAUACUUAUGAUAUAAUACUUUUGCUAUUACUCUGUUUUUUGUUUGAGUUUUUAUGCAUCUGUAGGUUGGAAAGUCUGAUCAUAUAUCCAGUACUGAGGAAGCCAGGUACAAAUGAAAGAAGAUACCUUCAUGAUUGCUGAACAACAAUGCUCACCCUCAGUAUUUAGAGGAUACAAGUUCUUCAAGUUAAGUUUUCCUCUGUGCAGCUGUGUCUUCAUCUAGGAAAAAUCACAUUAACCAUUGGUGUGAAAGGCUGAAAAUCUCUUUGAUGCUCUUGACUAAGGAUUAAAAGCCAGGGCCAUGUCUGACAACUUGACUUUGUUACUUCACAGUAGAAUGUGUCUGAGACUGUUUUUUGAUAUCAUCUUUACAUUGGAGUUGGUUGGUUAAAGGACACUUGAAGAUUGAACCCCAUUAUCAGUCUCAAGGUCUUUUAUU
RNAcentral lists this long non-coding RNA (698 nucleotides) under Cricetulus griseus (Chinese hamster). Its description in RNAcentral is "lncRNA (ENSCGRG00015015649.2)". Lineage: Eukaryota; Metazoa; Chordata; Mammalia; Rodentia; Cricetidae. The record is from RNAcentral.